CCUCCCUCCCACCUCCCAGGUCUCCUCCUUUUGCGUUCCAAGGAUCCCCCCGGCGCAUCAGAUGUUACCGGGGUCACCCUGCAGAAGAGGAGCAAGCAGCUCUCCUUCCCACCGGCGCCUGCUGCAAUCUCAGGGGGCUCGGGGCUGCUCUCGGGUCCCAGGUUAAGCUGUCUCUGGGCCGGAAUUCCUGCACCCCGAGCGGCCGAGGCACGGUACGGGAGGGACGAGUCACCCCGGGCUGCCCUUGGCGGCUCCUGCCGAGGGCACCCGGGAAGUUUUCCGGCCAAGGAGAAGGCAGACGAGAGGCACGGGCGGGAGCGGCGGAGCGCGGGCAGGGGCCGAGCCGCGCCGCGCCGGGCCGGGCGGGGGCGGAGGAGGGGGCACGGCCGGGAGGUGGAGCCGGCUGCGCUGGCGGCUCCGGCGCUCCGCGGCUGCGGGCACGGGGCGCGCACGGCAGUGGGAGCCCAGCGCUGCCGGGAGCCGCCGCCGCUCGGUCCGGCCGGUCCGUGCCCGGAGCCGCCGCCGCGGGAGCCGCCAGUCAUCAAAGGAGCCUUUAAAGGAACCUCUAGGAGGCUGAUUGCUAAGACUCCAUAGAUCCCCAGGAAGACAAAGGAGGCCAAGGAGUGUGAGAUUUGUGAUUCAGUGUGUGGCUUUGUCACAUGCCUACCCAGGCUGAAGAUGAUAGAAAUCUUGGUGCUAUCUCACUUCAGGUUGGGUAAGUAUAUUAUGUUUGUUGCUUUGUGGGAUUUUCUUUUAAACUAGGCUUCUUAAAUGAAGAGCAGCAAUAUUUAAGCUUGUGUGUAAAUAAGCAGAGAACCCUGGCUUCAUCUUGUCUAAUCUGUUUAACCUUCAUCAACC
RNAcentral lists this long non-coding RNA (858 nucleotides) under Junco hyemalis (dark-eyed junco). Its description in RNAcentral is "lncRNA (ENSJHYG00000010894.1)". The record is from RNAcentral. Lineage: Eukaryota; Metazoa; Chordata; Aves; Passeriformes; Passerellidae.